RNAcentral lists this ribosomal RNA (492 nucleotides) under uncultured bacterium. Its description in RNAcentral is "partial 16S ribosomal RNA". It matches the Rfam family "Bacterial small subunit ribosomal RNA", at positions 30 to 507 of the family's 1533-position model. The record is from RNAcentral.
AGUGAACGCUGGCGGUAGGCCUAACACAUGCAAGUCGAACGGCAGCACAGUAAGAGCUUGCUCUUACGGGUGGCGAGUGGCGGACGGGUGAGGAAUACAUCGGAAUCUACUCUUUCGUGGGGGAUAACGUAGGGAAACUUACGCUAAUACCGCAUACGACCUACGGGUGAAAGCAGGGGAUCUUCGGACCUUGCGCGAUUGAAUGAGCCGAUGUCGGAGUAGCUAGUUGGCGGGGUACAGGCCCACCAUGGCGACGAUCCGUAGCUGGUCUGAGAGGAUGAUCGCCGGCACUGGAGCUGGGACAGGGUCCAGACGCCUGAGGGAGGCAGCAGUCGGGAAUAUGAGGCAAUGGGGGCAAGCCUGAUCCAGCGGUACGGCGUGGGUGGAGGAGGCCUUCGGGUUGUGAUGCCCUUUUGUUGGGAGAGAAAAGCAGCAGGUUAUGACGCCGCGGUUCUGACGGUACCCAGAGAAGAAGCACCGGCUAACUUCGUG